This 28-nucleotide non-coding RNA is filed under the name Rattus norvegicus (Norway rat). The record is from RNAcentral. Lineage: Eukaryota; Metazoa; Chordata; Mammalia; Rodentia; Muridae.
UGAUUUAGAGUUCGGGGAACUGAGAAAU